GCCACCUUAGCUCAGUUGGUAGAGCGGUGCUUUCGUAAAGCAUAGGUCCGCGGUUCGAGUCCGCGAGGUGGCUCAA
RNAcentral lists this transfer RNA (76 nucleotides) under Candidatus Harrisonbacteria bacterium CG10_big_fil_rev_8_21_14_0_10_42_17. RNAcentral's name for it is "tRNA-Thr". It matches the Rfam family "tRNA". Rfam says of the family: Transfer RNA (tRNA) molecules are approximately 80 nucleotides in length. Their secondary structure includes four short double-helical elements and three loops (D, anti-codon, and T loops). The record is from RNAcentral. Lineage: Bacteria; Candidatus Harrisoniibacteriota.